Molecule: ribosomal RNA, 499 nt
Filed under: uncultured bacterium
Lineage: Bacteria
Description: bacterial SSU rRNA
Rfam family: Bacterial small subunit ribosomal RNA
Source: RNAcentral
AGAGUUUGAUCAUGGCUCAGAAUAAACGUUGGCGGCGUGCUUAACACAUGCAAGUCGAGCGAGAAAGGUCUUCGGACUGAGUACAGCGGCAAACGGGUGAGUAACACGUGGGAAUCUACCUUUUAGUGAAGAAUACCCUCGAGAAAUCGAGGGUAAUACUGCAUACGUCUCGAAAGAGAGAAAGAUGGCCUCUUUGCUGUCGCUGAAAGAUGAGCCUGCGUACUAUUAGCUAGUUGGUAGGGUAAAGGCCUACCAAGGCUAUGAUGGUUAGCCGGCCUGAGAGGGUGUACGGCCACACUGGAACUUAGACACGGUCCAGACUCCUACGGGAGGCAGCAGUGAGGAAUAUUGCGCAAUGGGCGAAAGCCUGACGCAGCGACGCCGCGUGGAGGAUGAAGGUCUUAGGAUUGUAAACUUCUGUUAAGCGGGAAGAAAGACGAAGUGUUAAUACCACUUUAUGAUGACGGUACCGCUAAAGAAAGCACCGGCUAACUUCGUG